UGGGGGAUAUUGCGCAAUGGGGGAAACCCUGACGCAGCGACGCCGUGUGAGGGAAGAAGGCUUUCGGGUCGUAAACCUCUGUCGGGAAGGAAGAACCCCUCGGGUCCCAAUAGGGCUCGAGGCUGACGGUACUUCCAAAGGAAGCACCGGCUAACUCCGUGCCAGCAGCCGCGGUAAUACGGAGGGUGCAAGCGUUAAUCGGAAUCACUGGGCGUAAAGCGCGCGUAGGCGGCCUUUUAAGUCGGACAUGAAAGCCCUCGGCUCAACCGGGGAAUUGCGUUCGAUACUGGGAGGCUUGAGUCCUGGAGAGGGUGGCGGAAUUCCGGGUGUAGGAGUGAAAUCCGUAGAUAUCCGGAGGAACACCGGUGGCGAAGGCGGCCACCUGGACAGGUACUGACGCUG
Molecule: ribosomal RNA, 402 nt
Filed under: uncultured bacterium
Lineage: Bacteria
Description: bacterial SSU rRNA
Rfam family: Bacterial small subunit ribosomal RNA
Source: RNAcentral